RNAcentral lists this ribosomal RNA (497 nucleotides) under uncultured bacterium. RNAcentral's name for it is "partial 16S ribosomal RNA". It matches the Rfam family "Bacterial small subunit ribosomal RNA", at positions 28 to 507 of the family's 1533-position model. The record is from RNAcentral.
GAUGAACGCUGGCGGCGUGCCUAAUACAUGCAAGUCGAGCGAACAGACGAGGAGCUUGCUCCUCUGACGUUGGCGGCGGACGGGUGAGUAACACGUGGAUAACCUACCUAUAAGACUGGGAUAACUUCGGGAAACCGGAGCUAAUACCGGAUAAUAUAUUGAACCGCAUGGUUCAAUAGUGAAAGACGGUUUUGCUGUCACUUAUAGAUGGAUCCGCGCCGCAUUUGCUAGUUGGUAAGGUAACGGCUUACCAAGGCAACGAGGCGUAGCCGACCUGAGAGGGUGAUCGGCCACACUGGAACUGAGACACGGUCCAGACUCCUACGGGAGGCAGCAGUAGGGAAUCUUCCGCAAUGGGCGAAAGCCUGACGGAGCAACGCCGCGUGAGUGAUGAAGGUCUUCGGAUCGUAAAACUCUGUUAUUAGGGAAGAACAAAUGUGUAAGUAACUAUGCACGUCUUGACGGUACCUAAUCAGAAAGCCACGGCUAACUACGUG